UAAAAAAAAAAAAUGCUGGUCUGUCCCUUUUCAAGUGUAAAAUUUCUAGACUUUGGAAGCUUUUCUUUUAUUGCUUGCAUUUAAAAGCCUUGUAAAUUAUAUAUUAUGACAUUCUCAAGCCAAAUGAAUAGAUUGGCAUUUGGCAAUAAGAGUGAGUGAGUGUGUGCCUGUGUGUGCGCACGCACACACAUAUACACACCAAUGCCAGAAUACACUAGCUAAGCACACUUUGAUUUGCUUUCUGCUUAUUUUAUGACAACCACAGUAAUAUUAUUAAAAAAAAUUACUGGUCUGUCCCAUUUCAAGUGUAAAAUCUCUACGACUUUGGAAGCCUUCUUUUAUUGCUUGCAUUUGAAGAGCCUUGUGAAUUAUAUAUAUAUAUAUAGUAAUGUAGAUGCAAUUUUUUUUUUCUUUUAUUAUCACACACUUGUUUUUAAAUAUGUUAUUAUGUACACAUACAAAGUAUGUGCACAUAAGUAGCAUAUAAGAAAAAGAAUUGUUAAAUCCUUACUUGUUUGACGUGCAAGCCUGUUUAGUUAUCAAAUUCAAUUCAUUUAUCAAAUACUGUCUGUAAUCUAAUAAAACAACAAAUGUCCAAAUCUCAACAGCCCAGCUAUACUGCCCCCUCUAAACCUAAAAAGGAAAAAGAAGAAAAGAAAAUGAGAAAUCCUCCCUUCAGCCUGUGGGAUUUGUUUUACCAUUUUGACCUAUCACUUGCAUUAAUUUCCUUGUUUUUGCUGUUGAUGUGGUUUCUACCAUUGAGAAUCAUGGUUUGACUUUACGUCUCACUAUGAUCGCAGGGUUCUCCUUAUUCUUCAAGUUCUCUGUUUGUUAGCGCUGGAAUAGUUGUACUGUCUUUUGGGGAUGGGCCAGAGUCUUUUUUUGUUAAAUAAGCUUGUGUUAUGAGAGAUUAAAAAUUCCUGCAUGUUAAUAGAGAAAAGAAAUGAAAACAAAGUAGUUGAAAGAAAAUGAGUGGAAGAUGCGAUAAAUUUACUGGGAAAAAAGAAGAGUGAAAAAGAAAGAGGAACACAAGAACAUUUGAAGGGGCAAAAAAAAGAAAAUCAGAAAAAAUACAAAAGAAAGAUAUUGGAACACAAAAAAAUGAAAGAAAAAAUGGAGAUGAAAAGAUAAGAGAGAGAAAUCCAAUACGAUGGAUAGUGCAAAUCUAUUUCAAAAGAAAUCGAGUGAAAGAAGCAUGCAAAAGGCUUCUUGGAGGUUGCUGGAAUUGAUGGUAGUAUGUAUUUGAGAUGCUUCAACCAUGAUAUGUGAGAAUAGAAGUCAUUCCUUUCGAAGAGCGGAGGCAAGUCAGGAUAUGCAAUCUAAGUUGCAGACUGCGGAGCCUCGUCACUGCUGUUGGUAGUUGGUGCUUCCGAAAUAUGUGGUCAUUAAGCAGAAGUGGUGAAGGGUGUAAGAUUGUUGCUUCUUUGUGGUGGCUUAAUCUGUUGACUUCUGGUUAUUUUAUCCAAAGUGUUGGAAAUGUUUGACAAAUUUGUUUUAAUGUUUACUAGUGAAUUUACAAUGAGCUCUAAAGAUUCUUAUUUGCUUAUUUUGACUUGGUCAUUUUAUUAUUUACUUUAGGCACUUCUUGGGCGUGUCAUUUCUCGUUAGUCAUUCCUAAAUGGUUGUUCAACUCAUGGGAGUUUGCCAUAUGCAUUGUUGUUUUACUUAAUCUCAAGAAGAACAGCAUUUUAAAAUUUGUGAAUAAUCCAAGCUAGGGCAAAUUUAGAUAUGUGACAUGAUAGUAUAUAUUUUUCCUUCUUACAUUUAACUUUGAG
RNAcentral lists this unclassified non-coding RNA (1775 nucleotides) under Hevea brasiliensis (rubber tree). Lineage: Eukaryota; Viridiplantae; Streptophyta; Magnoliopsida; Malpighiales; Euphorbiaceae. The record is from RNAcentral.